Long non-coding RNA from Uloborus diversus, 267 nucleotides. RefSeq lists it as uncharacterized. The record is from RefSeq and is a predicted model, not a curated record. The transcript is spliced from 3 exons. NCBI's taxonomy places the organism in Eukaryota, Metazoa, Arthropoda, Arachnida, Araneae, Uloboridae.
ACGACUUAUUUCUGGAUCGAUAUUCAAAUCAAAAAGACAAUAUGAGUUUCAUUCAAUUCCUAAAGAUUAUAAAGUUCUCUCAGAGAAAAAGUUCCGAGAUUAUCUAAUCAAAUGGAACAUGGACCAGAAUCUUAAAAUGUGCAGUUAUAAAGUCGAAGGCAAUGUUGAAUUACAAGACGUGGAAAGCAUCAUUGGGUGUCCGAAAGUCUAGACAAACACAAAUGAAGUUCAUAGUUUCAGAAGUUUUCAAAAUUACAUGCUUUGUAA